Molecule: non-coding RNA, 135 nt
Filed under: metagenome
Description: SAM
Rfam family: SAM riboswitch aptamer (S box leader)
About the family: The SAM riboswitch is found upstream of a number of genes which code for proteins involved in methionine or cysteine biosynthesis in Gram-positive bacteria.
Source: RNAcentral
AGCUCAUCGAGAGGGACUGAGGGAACGGCCCGUUGAAGUCCCGGCAACCGCCGCGAACCCCCCGUCGAACCUGACGGUCGCGGAAACGGUGCUAAUUCCGGCCUGAGGCGAGAUACGCCACGGGGAAGAUGAGAA